ACGAACGCUGGCGGCAGGCCUCACACAUGCAAGUCGAGCGGACAUCUUCGGAUGUUAGCGGCGGACGGGUGAGUAACGCGUGGGAACGUGCCCUUUGCUUCGGAAUAGCCUCGGGAAACUGGGAGUAAUACCGGAUGUACCCUUUGGGGGAAAGAUUUAUCGGCAAAGGAUCGGCCCGCGUUGGAUUAGGUAGUUGGUGGGGUAAUGGCCUACCAAGCCGACGAUCCAUAGCUGGUUUGAGAGGAUGAUCAGCCACACUGGGACUGAGACACGGCCCAGACUCCUACGGGAGGCAGCAGUGGGGAAUCUUAGACAAUGGGGGAAACCCUGAUCUAGCCAUGCCGCGUGAGCGAUGAAGGCCUUAGGGUUGUAAAGCUCUUUCACCGGGGAAGAUAAUGACGGUACCCGGAGAAGAAGCCCCGGCUAACUCCGU
Molecule: ribosomal RNA, 433 nt
Filed under: uncultured bacterium
Lineage: Bacteria
Description: partial 16S ribosomal RNA
Rfam family: Bacterial small subunit ribosomal RNA
Source: RNAcentral